UUAAGCGACUAAGCGUACACGGUGGAUGCCCUGGCAGUCAGAGGCGAUGAAGGACGUGCUAAUCUGCGAAAAGCGCCGGCGAGGUGAUAUGAACCCUUGACCCGGCGAUGUCCGAAUGGGGAAACCCAGUGCAAUCCGUUGCACUAUCGUUAACUGAAUACAUAGGUUAACGAGGCGAACCGGGGGAACUGAAACAUCUAAGUACCCCGAGGAAAAGAAAUCAACCGAGAUUCCCCCAGUAGCGGCGAGCGAACGGGGAGCAGCCCGGAGUCUGAAUCAGCUUGUGUGUUAGUGGAACGGUCUGGAAAGUCCGACGGUACAGGGUGAUAGUCCCGUACACGAAAGUGCACUUGCUGUGAACUCGAAGAGUAGGGCGGGACACGUGGUAUCCUGUCUGAAUAUGGGGGGACCAUCCUCCAAGGCUAAAUACUCCUGACUGACCGAUAGUGAACCAGUACCGUGAGGGAAAGGCGAAAAGAACCCCGGCGAGGGGAGUGAAAAAGAACCUGAAACCGUGUACGUACAAGCAGUGGGAGCCUCUUUUAUGGGGUGACUGCGUACCUUUUGUAUAAUGGGUCAGCGACUUAUAUUCUGUAGCAAGGUUAACCGUAUAGGGGAGCCGAAGGGAAACCGAGUCUUAACUGGGCGUUAAGUUGCAGGGUAUAGACCCGAAACCCGGUGAUCUAGCCAUGGGCAGGUUGAAGGUUGGGUAACACUAACUGGAGGACCGAACCGACUAAUGUUGAAAAAUUAGCGGAUGACCUGUGGCUGGGGGUGAAAGGCCAAUCAAACCGGGAGAUAGCUGGUUCUCCCCGAAAGCUAUUUAGGUAGCGCCUCGUGAACUCAUCUUCGGGGGUAGAGCACUGUUUCGGCUAGGGGGCCAUCCCGGCUUACCAACCCGAUGCAAACUACGAAUACCGAAGAAUGUUAUCACGGGAGACACACGGCGGGUGCUAACGUCCGUCGUGAAGAGGGAAACAACCCAGACCGCCAGCUAAGGUCCCAAAGUCAUGGUUAAGUGGGAAACGAUGUGGGAAGGCACAGACAGCCAGGAUGUUGGCUUAGAAGCAGCCAUCAUUUAAAGAAAGCGUAAUAGCUCACUGGUCGAGUCGGCCUGCGCGGAAGAUGUAACGGGGCUAAACCAUGCACCGAAGCUGCGGCAGCGACGCUUAUGUGUUGUUGGGUAGGGGAGCGUUCUGUAAGCCGUUGAAGGUGUGCUGUGAGGCAUGCUGGAGGUAUCAGAAGUGCGAAUGCUGACAUAAGUAACGAUAAAGCGGGUGAAAAGCCCGCUCGCCGGAAGACCAAGGGUUCCUGUCCAACGUUAAUCGGGGCAGGGUGAGUCGACCCCUAAGGCGAGGCCGAAAGGCGUAGUCGAUGGGAAACAGGUUAAUAUUCCUGUACUUGGUGUUACUGCGAAGGGGGGACGGAGAAGGCUAUGUCAGCCGGGCGACGGUUGUCCCGGUUUAAGCAUGUAGGCGGAGGUUCCAGGUAAAUCCGGUACCUUGUUAACGCUGAGGUGUGAUGACGAGGCACUACGGUGCUGAAGUGAUAAAUGCCCUGCUUCCAGGAAAAGCCUCUAAGCAUCAGGUAACACGAAAUCGUACCCCAAACCGACACAGGUGGUCAGGUAGAGAAUACCAAGGCGCUUGAGAGAACUCGGGUGAAGGAACUAGGCAAAAUGGUGCCGUAACUUCGGGAGAAGGCACGCUGAUGUGUAGGUGAAGCCCCUGCGGGUGGAGCUGAAAUCAGUCGAAGAUACCAGCUGGCUGCAACUGUUUAUUAAAAACACAGCACUGUGCAAACACGAAAGUGGACGUAUACGGUGUGACGCCUGCCCGGUGCCGGAAGGUUAAUUGAUGGGGUUAGCGGCAACGCGAAGCUCUUGAUCGAAGCCCCGGUAAACGGCGGCCGUAACUAUAACGGUCCUAAGGUAGCGAAAUUCCUUGUCGGGUAAGUUCCGACCUGCACGAAUGGCGUAAUGAUGGCCAGGCUGUCUCCACCCGAGACUCAGUGAAAUUGAACUCGCUGUGAAGAUGCAGUGUACCCGCGGCAAGACGGAAAGACCCCGUGAACCUUUACUAUAGCUUGACACUGAACACUGGUCCUUGAUGUGUAGGAUAGGUGGGAGGCUUUGAAGCGUGGACGCCAGUCUGCGUGGAGCCNUUUGCUCUUUAAAAAUCUGGAUCAAGCUGAAAAUUGAAACGACACACAGCUCAUGUGUGUUCGAGUCUCUCAAAUUUUCGCAAUCAGAAGUGAAACAUCUUCGGGUUGUGAGG
This 2276-nucleotide ribosomal RNA is filed under the name Enterobacter cloacae. RNAcentral's name for it is "bacterial LSU rRNA". It matches the Rfam family "Bacterial large subunit ribosomal RNA", at positions 1 to 2269 of the family's 2925-position model. The record is from RNAcentral. Lineage: Bacteria; Pseudomonadati; Pseudomonadota; Gammaproteobacteria; Enterobacterales; Enterobacteriaceae.